This 370-nucleotide ribosomal RNA is filed under the name uncultured organism. RNAcentral's name for it is "bacterial SSU rRNA". It matches the Rfam family "Bacterial small subunit ribosomal RNA", at positions 526 to 896 of the family's 1533-position model. The record is from RNAcentral.
CGAAGGGGCGUAGCGUUGCUCGGAAUCACUGGGCGUAAAGCGCACGUAGGCGGCUUCUUAAGUCAGGGGUGGAAAUCCUGGAGCUCAACUCCAGAACUGCCUUUGAUACUGAGGAGCUUGAGUCCGGGAGAGGUGAGUGGAACUGCGAGUGUAGAGGUGAAAUUCGUAGAUAUUCGCAAGAACACCAGUGGCGAAGGCGGCUCACUGGCCCGGUACUGACGCUGAGGUGCGAAAGCGUGGGAGCAAACAGGAUUAGAUACCCUGGUAGUCCACGCCGUAAACGAUGGAUGCUAGCCGUUGGCGAGCUUGCUCGUCAGUGGCGCAGCUAACGCUUUAAGCAUCCCGCCUGGGGAGUACGGUCGCAAGAUUA